Molecule: ribosomal RNA, 503 nt
Filed under: uncultured bacterium
Lineage: Bacteria
Description: bacterial SSU rRNA
Rfam family: Bacterial small subunit ribosomal RNA
Source: RNAcentral
AUUGAACGCUGGCGGCAUGCCUUACACAUGCAAGUCGAACGGCAGCACGGGGGCAACCCUGGUGGCGAGUGGCGAACGGGUGAGUAAAGCAUCGGCACGUAUCCGGGAGUGGGGGAUAACGUAGCGAAAGUUACGCUAAUACCGCAUAUUCUCUGAGGAGGAAAGAGGGGGAUCGCAAGACCUCUCGCUUUCGGAGCGGCCGAGGUAGGAUUAGCUAGUUGGUGAGGUAAAGGCUCACCAAGGCGACGAUCCGUAGCGGGUCUGAGAGGAUGAUCCGCCACACUGGGACUGAGACACGGCCCAGACUCCUACGGGAGGCAGCAGUGGGGAAUUUUGGACAAUGGGGGCAACCCUGAUCCAGCCAUGCCGCGUGAGUGAAGAAGGCCUUCGGGUUGUAAAGCUCUUUCGGCGGGGAAGAAAUCGCUUGGACUAAUACUCUGAGUGGAUGACGGUACCCGAAUAAGAAGCACCGGCUAACUACGUGCCAGCCGCCGCCGUAACAC